UACGGAGGGGGCGAGCGUUAUUCGGAAUUAUUGGGCGUAAAGAGCUCGUAGGCGGUCUGUCGCGUCUGCUGUGAAAACUCGGGGCUUAACUCCGGGCCUGCAGUGGGUACGGGCAGACUAGAGUGCGGUAGGGGAGACUGGAAUUCCUGGUGUAGCGGUGAAAUGCGCAGAUAUCAGGAGGAAUACCGGUGGCGAAGGCGGCAUCCUGGACCGACAUUGACGCUGAGGAGCGAAAGCUAGGGGAGCAAACGGG
This 253-nucleotide ribosomal RNA is filed under the name uncultured bacterium. Its description in RNAcentral is "partial 16S ribosomal RNA". It matches the Rfam family "Bacterial small subunit ribosomal RNA", at positions 524 to 776 of the family's 1533-position model. The record is from RNAcentral.